CAGUCGCCGCGGGAAUACGGAGGAUCCAAGCGUUAUCCGGAUUUAUUGGGUUUAAAGGGUGCGUAGGUGGCCUGUUAAGUCAGGGGUGAAAGACGGUAGCUUAACUAUCGCAGUGCCCUUGAUACUGAUGGGCUUGAAUGAACUGGAGGUAGGCGGAAUGUGACAAGUAGCGGUGAAAUGCAUAGAUAUGUCACAGAACACCAAUUGCGAAGGCAGCUUACUAUGGUUUUAUUGACACUGAGGCACGAAAGCGUGGGGAUCAAACAGGAUUAGAUACCCCAGUAGUCCCUGUCUCUUAUAC
This 301-nucleotide ribosomal RNA is filed under the name uncultured bacterium. RNAcentral's name for it is "partial 16S ribosomal RNA". It matches the Rfam family "Bacterial small subunit ribosomal RNA", at positions 509 to 807 of the family's 1533-position model. The record is from RNAcentral.